CAGCGAACAUAUGUUCCAAGUCUCUCUCAACUCUCGAACGCAGCGGAACAUCGAGCGCACGAACUCGGAACUAUCGCUGAAGCCAAACGCCGCGUGUGAUCGAAAAUCCGAAAAUCCAAGUUAAACAAAAUCGAAGGGAAGCUGCGAGGUAAUUGAACGCCACCCGUUGCCCGCCCCCUCUAGCCACGCCCCGCGGCCGUGUGAUAACAAAGAUAAUGCAAUAAAAGGCAAUUAAAAGCUGCGAGAGAGCCAAGAAACGUGACCCAGGCAAAAUUUGUUUGUUUGUCUGCCUCUGCUUGCUGCAUAUACAUAUACAUAUAAACGUGCGUGAGAUUGUGUGUGUGUGUGAGCAGUCGUCGCGUAGUAGUAGUAGUAACACAGCAAACAACAACAAAUUCGUCUCGCGUUUUUUACAAUAAUAAUUUUGAAAAUUACAAAAUUGUAUCCCUCUUACCCUCUCACUGUCUCUCUCUCUCUCGCACACACACGCACGAAUAUUACCCCCGGCGCGUUUUUCGUCUGUCUCACUCUCGCAAAGGCGGAAGAGUUAAACAAAAAAAAAAGAAAUAUUUUAAAUAAUAAAUAAAAACAAAAACUGCCAUUGUCGCUGCAGAAAAUUUGUGCAUUUUCCAAGUUCUCCACAAUGUCCUCAAAUCUCAUUUAAAUAAGUAAAAAAAAAGUGUAAAAAGCGACGCGAACGAAAGUAAUUGCGUUGAAUAGAAGCACGCCAAACAGCAACAAAUGGCCAACAAUUGAAUGGCGGCCAUCAGUGGCCCAGCGGCAUCCAUUGAGCAAUCAACACCAUUUCUCCCACAUCAAAUCAAGCACCACCACCACCGCCGCCUCCUCAGCCACCACCGCCGUCACCACUUCGGGAACCAGAACCAGAACCACAGUCCCAGUCCAAAACACAAUCCAAACCACCACCGAGGACUAGCCACAUUCACAGCCCAAUUGAACCACAACCACUGAGCCCCAUCGCCAAACAAAUACCAGAAACGGGUGGUGCAGCUGCUCGAAUUAUUUGGAAAACCCGCCGCGUAGUCCCUCAAUGAGCGUUUCGAUGUCACUGGUACAGGGUGGUGCUGCCGGUGGUGCGCCACAAGGCGCCAGCGCAAUCUUGGCCGCAGCGGCUCCCUACUAUCAACCGCCAGCCGUGCCCCAGGACGUCCAGCCGGAUCGUCCCAUCGGCUAUGGAGCAUUCGGAGUUGUCUGGGCUGUCACAGAUCCUCGGGAUGGAAGACGCGUGGCUCUGAAGAAGCUGCCCAAUGUGUUCCAAUCGUUGGUCUCAUCGAAACGCGUUUUUCGCGAGCUGAAAAUGCUCUGCUUCUUCAAGCAUGAGAAUGUUCUCUCUGCUCUGGACAUUCUACAGCCACCGCAUUUGGAUUUCUUUCAAGAAAUCUAUGUGAUAACGGAGCUGCUGCAAUCGGAUCUGCACAAGAUAAUCGUAUCGCCGCAGCACCUGUCCGCCGACCACAUCAAGGUGUUCCUCUACCAGAUCCUGCGCGGCCUCAAGUAUCUGCAUUCGGCCCGCAUCCUGCAUCGCGACAUCAAGCCGGGCAACCUGCUGGUCAAUUCAAAUUGCGUGCUCAAGAUCUGUGAUUUUGGACUGGCCCGCGUGGAGGAGCCGGAUCAGGCCAAGCACAUGACCCAGGAGGUGGUCACCCAGUACUAUCGGGCACCGGAGAUUCUGAUGGGCGCUCGUCACUACUCGUCGGCGGUGGAUGUGUGGUCGGUGGGUUGCAUUUUCGGCGAACUCCUGGGCCGUCGCAUCCUCUUCCAGGCGCAAAACCCGGUGCAGCAGCUGGAGUUGAUCACCGAACUGCUGGGCACACCGACCAUGGAGGACAUGCGGCACGCCUGCGAGGGAGCCCGCACCCAUAUGUUGCGCCGGGCGCCCAAGCCGCCCUCAUUCUCGGUGCUCUACACACUCAGCUCGCAUGCCACGCACGAGGCGGUGCACCUGCUCUGCCAGAUGCUCGUCUUCGAUCCGGACAAGCGCAUUUCUGUGACAGAUGCCCUGGCGCAUCCGUAUCUGGAUGAGGGUCGCCUGCGCUACCAUUCGUGCAUGUGCAAAUGCUGCUUCACUACCUCGGCCGGAAUGCGACAAUAUACGGCUGAUUUCGAGCCCUCCGCCGGCCAGCCCUUCGAUGAUCUAUGGGAACGCAAGCUCACAUCGGUGCAACAGGUCAAGGAGGAGAUGCACAAGUUCAUAGCCGAGCAGCUGCAAACGGGUCGUGUGCCGCUCUGCAUUAAUCCGCAGAGUGCGGCCUUCAAGAGUUUCGCCAGCCAAUGAGAAUGAGAAAAUCUACUACUACUACCACUACCACUACUACCACUACAACUUGCACUGCUGCUCCUGCCGCUGCUCCAAUCCGCCGCCGCCUACUGUUGUUGCGCUGCCCUCGAGAACCGAUCCAGAUCCAGAUCGAGAUCGUUAUCCAGAGAUCCAAGAUACUAGGCGCGCGAGAUCUCCUCUCACUAGAACGAAUCGAUAUACGAUCAAAAAAAACGCAGAAGUCACAAGAUACUAUCCGAAAUCUACCGAAUGAUUGAAGAAUGAAAAUGAUAUAAAUGAAAAUGAAAUAUGCAAGCACAGCCAAGUCAAAAGAUACAAUAAUACAGAUACAGAAAAUGAGGCCUCGGGGCGGCAACUGUCUCUCUACUCCUUCUUAGUUCGACCGUGGCACAUCCUUCGGAGCUGCCGCCCUCGCCUCAUCAAUGGGAAUGACGGCAAAAUGAGGCGAUUGCUGCCUAAAAUCGAAACAAAAGCAACACAGCCAAACGAUAGACCCUCGCCGUCGACAAAAAGGAGGAGAGGAGUCGAUCCCCAGUCCAAAUAGAACCCUCAAAAACCCUCUACAAUCCUCGAAAACCCAACCCAACCCAGAGAUAACUCAGCCAGGAACAACGAUUGAAUAAUUUUUAAGCGCCAAACGGCUUUUAAGUGGGCGUUUGUCUGUUUGAAAGUUAAAGCAUUCCACCACCGAAAUUAACUAAAAAGGAAAACAAACAAAUAUUUAAUAAUACUAUAGACAAACAAAUAUUGUAACGUAACUCAACUGAAACUAGUCUAAACAACAAAACUGUAGUUAAAGCAGCAGCAGCAGCGACACAAAACCAGCAAGUUUAAAGUGAAGGAGAAAUAUUACAAGAAUUAAUAUGAGAGAGAUGAAGCGAAGGAUAUUCUACGCACUAAAAGCAAAGCGUAGCUAAAAAAAUAAUAUUAGUUUUUUGGCAACAAAGCAGACAUAUUUUGUUGUGCUUGACAAGAAUUGGAAGAGUUAAUCGAAAAUUCGAAUUAAAUGCAAAUGCAAAAACCACACAAAAAUGUUUUAUGUUAAGCUCCUAAGAAAUCUAUGUAUAUGUAAAUUAAUUAGCAACACACACACACAGACAUCGUAUUCAUGAUAUACAAAUAUGCUUAACUCUUAAAUAUAUUGAUAUAUAUAUUUAAAAAUAAAAUAGUAACAAAAUGCACACAAAUCCAAAAUUUGUUUGCCAAAAUUUACCUCAAGCGAUAAACCUUUUCAUCCAUUAAAAGGAUAAUUUCAUUUUCUGUAUGCUUACGAAAAAUAUAUUAAACAAAAUGAUGUGUAGCUACAGCUAAAUGUGUACUAAGCGCUAAACAAAAACAAAUUUAUUUGAAAUUAUGCAAAUAUUUUCAUUUACACAAAACGUUUGAAGCUUCAAUUUUGAAACUGGUUUCUAGAUAUGUACUCUUAAAUGCAUCUGACCACAAAAAAGGCGGUCAGGCCUAACUCAAUAUUAGGAAAAAAAAGAUAAAUAUUUGAUGAAAUUAGUUCAAAGUUUCAACUGUCGACUGAACAAAAAUUACAAUAUAAAUUAAUAUAAAUAUAAAUUAAACGAUUUCAACUUAAUUUAGUUAUGACAAUUUUCGCUUUGAUAAUAGUUUGUUAAGCUUUUUAAACAUACUUUUCAUAAUUGUAAACUAACAAAUAAACAAAGGAAAAACCAACAAGUGGACGACGCACUGCCCCCAGUGAAUGGUUCGGGCGGAUCGAACCCAAAUGGACGGAGGGAUCGAUUUCCAUACUCGUCCUUGAAGUCCAAAGGCACCGCCCGGAUCAAUUCGAUUUUAGUUGAUAUUUAUACUUUGCUUUUAGUUGAUUACCAUGUAAUAUAGUUUAAUUUUCGACUAACUACACCUCUGUCUCUCUCAAUGCUCAUCGCUAUAGGCUAUAGCUAAGGUGCAGGACAGGAUCGGUUAUAGAGGAUCAAUUGCUAAGGCCUCGGCUGCCCAGAACAUUAUAUAUGUUUAAGACUGAGUUUUCUCAUUUGACGACGACGAUUGAAUGAUUGAGGAUAUGCAAUAUAAAAUUCACACAAUUCUUUUACUUGAAAGGGUCAAAAUUAAUUUGAUGUAGCUUAAGCACUUAAACGAAAUUAAAAAUGUAUACCGUAUAUGUGUAUUUUGAAUGUCUUUUGUCUUCAAUGUUUAGAGCCAAAACAAUGCAUGAAAAUAUUUAAUCGAAAACAAAACGACGAUGAAGUAGAAAAAGCUCUCGAAGAAGUUAAAACUGAAGCUAAACUAAACUUUCCUCUUCUUCAAUUCUCUUAACUGUGCUGCUUUCUUAUGUAUGUAGUUAUUAAUUAUAUAGCAUUAUAUAUAUUAACCGAUAUAUAUACAUGUAUGGAUUAGCGUAAAAACAAACGAAAACAAAACAAAAAACAAAUAUGAAUUCAAAACUUUCACGGAGAUCUCAUAGCAAAAACAAAACGAAAUGAAAGAAAAGAAAGGCAAAGGAAAUCAGUGUGCAAAAAAAGUAGAAUUUCUUUUCAACUUUUGUUUAUAACUAAAGUUUUUCUUAACCGUAAAUAUAUAGAGUACAGAUUAGAGAUUACCGAUUACCUAUUACUGAUUGUUUUCCCCUCAUUUGACCAGAGACCGACACAGAGACACACUCGAAUGCAAGUUAAAUUGACAACUACAUUAACAUCAUUUACAUGUCUAAGCACCAUACUCCACAUAGAGGUACAUAUAUAAAUAUAUAGCUACGCAUACGGAUAGUUAGUUUUCGGUUCGGUUUAGGCACCGUGUACAUAGCAUUAUCUCCAUACACCCCCACCAAUAAUUAGCCCACAUCUCUCUCUAGCUCAGUAAGACGGUUAGCUAUGCGGUAAUACGAGUAUGAUAAGAAAUGGACAUGUACAUUAUACUACACACAUAGCACAACCCUCAAUUGGAGCAGGUCUGAACUAAAAUAUAAAAUAAAGUAAAUCACACUCGAUAUAUAUAUCGAUCCUAUAUAGGAUGUAUGAUUUGGAAGAGAGCGACUUGGGUCGCCGAAACCUCCCGUUCGAAAUGAGUUCAUUAGUUAAGAUCAACUGUAACUGUAAACUGCAUUAGUAUUUGACUUGUAAACCGAUUUAUGGAUCAUUCUUAACUAUAUAUAUUAGAUACGUAUUAUGCAUUAAUUUUACGUUAACUGAGAAUAAAACAAAAAAUUGUGUAAACUGUAUAAAAAAAAAAUAAGAACAAAACAAAAAAAGAAGAAAACGAAUCAAUUUUGUUUCAUUUGUCGCAUUACUUGAAGUGGAUCCAACCCAACCCAAUGCAUUUGCUAAUUAGAAUUUAUAGCUAUGUAACACAGUGAAAACCCGACAACUAGCACCUACUAUAUACGAUAUGUGUAUGUAUAUGUAUGGACAAUAUUUGAGAUUAAAACCACACACCACACAAUUCUUCAAGUUUGUAUUAGAGUACAGGUAAAAUGACAGCGUUCCAUGGAAGUGAAAAACCUUUGGAUGCCACUUAUAUUUAACCAUUUGAAUAUUAACCAAAUAUGUAUGGGAUAUAAACCUAUAAAAUUGGUAAGAAUCUAUGGGGACAUUUUUGAAACUAGAAUUGGUCAAGAUUGGUAGAUUAAACCAUAAAAAUGAUCGCGCUCAGGUUAUAAAUUGUAAAAAUUAAAAACACUCCUAUAUAUACGAAAUAAUUCUAUAAUUCGCAUAACAUAAAGAUAACCAUAUAAAUGUAUGUUUAACACGUUUAACAAAAGGCUGUUUGUAGAAAUUGUGACACAGUUUUUUUAACCCGAACCCAUUACUAACCGAUGAUUAACCAACUCGAUGUGUAAAUGCAAAUGAAGAAUGAGAAAUCUUCGACUUAACAGUAAAUGUAGUUGCUUACACUUGCCAAAAAAAAUAUGGCUGCUUUUUGCACUUCGAGAAAAUUGUGUAAAUACUAAAGAAAAUGAUAAA
Non-coding RNA from Drosophila suzukii, 6225 nucleotides. NCBI's taxonomy places the organism in Eukaryota, Metazoa, Arthropoda, Insecta, Diptera, Drosophilidae. The record is from RefSeq and is a predicted model, not a curated record.